UUACAGUAAUUAGAUGCUGAAAGAGACCGGAGGAAAACAGCUCAGAUCACAGCAGUUUGUACAACUCUCCUGGAGACCAGUCAGACUCUACCCAUGAUGUUAUAGAAAAUCUGCCUCAAAGAUUGCUAAGUGCCCAGAAUCAAACCCAGGGCCUCAUGCAUACCAGGAAGAGCUGGAAAAGAAUGACAGGAGCUGUCACGACCUGCAAAGCCUAAAUCAUUUACUAUCAGAAAAAAAAGUUUGCUAAUCUUGUAUUUAGUAUCUAUUUAUUGCCCUUUGUGACCAACUCGGAGUUGAGUCAGAGUCUGGUUCAAAAGCUUAGCUAAAAUGUAAAUCAGCAAACAUAAGCAUGGGGCAUUGUGGAUUGUGAAAUUUUUUUUACGUGCUAGCUCUUCUGAUUUCUCCAAUAGAGGUAUAAAAUAGACCACUACUUCCAUGAGGAAACAGGUUGAAAAUAUUGCAUAAUAUCCCAGGGUUAAAAAGAAAAGAGUCAGUGUUUUCAGUCUUUUAACAGCUCAUGUUCCUUUAUCCCUGGAAAAUACUUACUUUGAUUUUUAAAAAGGGUGCUAGUGGCCAUUACCAUUAAUCAUUUUAUGAUGUACUCGUUUGUAAAAAAAUUAAGGUUAGUUACAAUUAAUUAUACUUUGUUCAUAUGUUUUAUCUCCUAAA
Long non-coding RNA from Dipodomys ordii (Ord's kangaroo rat), 669 nucleotides. RefSeq lists it as uncharacterized. NCBI's taxonomy places the organism in Eukaryota, Metazoa, Chordata, Mammalia, Rodentia, Heteromyidae. The transcript has 3 exons. The record is from RefSeq and is a predicted model, not a curated record.